UGAUGCCUACGGGAGGCAGCAGUGAGGAAUAUUGGUCAAUGGCCGGAAGGCUGAACCAGCCAAGCCGCGUGAAGGACGAAGGUGCCAAGUAUUGUAAACUUCUUUUGUCAAGGGACAAAAUCAGGCUCGAGAGCCUGACCGAGGGUACUUGAAGAAAAAGCAUCGGCUAACUCCGUGCCAGCAGCCGCGGUAAUACGUAGGAUGCGAGCGUUCUCCGGAUUUAUUGGGUUUAA
This 233-nucleotide ribosomal RNA is filed under the name uncultured bacterium. RNAcentral describes it as "partial 16S ribosomal RNA". It matches the Rfam family "Bacterial small subunit ribosomal RNA", at positions 333 to 563 of the family's 1533-position model. The record is from RNAcentral.